GGAAGGAGAGUAUUACGCCUGUAGCCAAACGUGCCAAAUAGGUUUCCCCUAAGCGGUUAGAAAACCCUACUAGGAAUAGAAUAUUGCGAAAGGAGAGGCACUUGUGGAUUUCUUGUAAGAAAAUCCAGUUCCUGUUCUCACCUCUGUUGUCGAUUAGGGCUUUUAGUUAAGGAAACUCAGUCUCUGAUAGCAUCAAUUUGACUAGGGUUUUUGAUUUGUGUUUAGUGCCAACAAGAUGUGUGGAGCUGCAGCUUCAACGACUUCUGGUCCCGUUGCUAAGGGGUUGAUUAUUGCGGCUGGAUAUAUUAUUGGUAGACAACUUAGUGAACGGUUGCUUAAACUUCAUAAAAGUAUCAAACAGAGGAGGGCUGAAGCAAAAGGUUACGAGAAUGGUGGUUCAUAAAGACACGCUUAUGGUAAUGAGCUGGCAUUUGGAGUACAGAUAACUUAUAAUCAGCGGAACACUAUUAAAUUGUGUCAAGACUUGUAAUGGAUUUAUGUUGGUAAGAGUUUUUAAUUGGACUCGGAUUUUGCUAGCUGAUGUGAGACCAAUACAACUAUACCUGUAGUUUUGGAUGGAGGAGAAUGUUGGUUCUAUUAUUUUGUAAAACUUUUUUUUAUUGAAAAUUUUGAAACAAUGUUCAACAAUACAAAUAAUAAUUAUUAUGAAAAUGCCAAAAGUGUUAUAAA
Cornus florida is the source of this 690-nucleotide long non-coding RNA. RefSeq lists it as uncharacterized. The transcript is spliced from 5 exons. The record is from RefSeq and is a predicted model, not a curated record. NCBI's taxonomy places the organism in Eukaryota, Viridiplantae, Streptophyta, Magnoliopsida, Cornales, Cornaceae.